AACGAACGCUGGCGGCAGGCCUAACACAUGCAAGUCGAGCGCGCCUUCGGGUGAGCGGCGGACGGGUGAGUAACACGUGGGAAUAUGCCUUUCGGUGCGGAAUAGUCUUGGGAAACUGAGGGUAAUACCGCAUACGCCCCCUGGGGGAAAGAUUUAUCGCCGAAAGAUUAGCCCGCGUUGGAUUAGGUAGUUGGUGGGGUAAUGGCCUACCAAGCCGACGAUCCAUAGCUGGUUUGAGAGGAUGAUCAGCCACACUGGGACUGAGACACGGCCCAGACUCCUACGGGAGGCAGCAGUGGGGAAUCUUAGACAAUGGGGGCAACCCUGAUCUAGCCAUGCCGCGUGAGUGAUGAAGGCCUUAGGGUUGUAAAGCUCUUUUACCCGGGAAGAUAAUGACUGUACCGGGAGAAUAAGCCCCGGCUAACUCCGUGCCAGCCGCCGCGGUAA
RNAcentral lists this ribosomal RNA (447 nucleotides) under uncultured bacterium. RNAcentral's name for it is "partial 16S ribosomal RNA". It matches the Rfam family "Bacterial small subunit ribosomal RNA", at positions 29 to 523 of the family's 1533-position model. The record is from RNAcentral.